This 468-nucleotide ribosomal RNA is filed under the name uncultured bacterium. RNAcentral's name for it is "partial 16S ribosomal RNA". It matches the Rfam family "Bacterial small subunit ribosomal RNA", at positions 28 to 507 of the family's 1533-position model. The record is from RNAcentral.
GACGAACGCUGGCGGCGUGCUUAACACAUGCAAGUCGAACGGAAAGGCCCUGCUUUUGUGGGGUGCUCGAGUGGCGAACGGGUGAGUAACACGUGAGUAACCUGCCCUUGACUUUGGGAUAACUUCAGGAAACUGGGGCUAAUACCAGAUAGGAGCUCCUGCUGCAUGGUGGGGGUUGGAAAGUUUCGGCGGUUGGGGAUGGACUCGCGGCUUAUCAGCUUGUUGGUGGGGUAGUGGCUUACCAAGGCUUUGACGGGUAGCCGGCCUGAGAGGGUGACCGGCCACAUUGGGACUGGGAUACGGCCCAGACUCCUACGGGAGGCAGCAGUGGGGAAUAUUGCACAAUGGGCGGAAGCCUGAUGCGGCAACGCCGCGUGCGGGAUGACGGCCUUCGGGUUGUAAACCGCUUUCGCCUGUGACGAAGCGUGAGUGACGGUAAUGGGUAAAGAAGCACCGGCUAACUACGUG